UCAUUUCUGAAAUUGGGCCAUUUUUUACACCUAAAUUCGGCCCAAAAGCUUCUCCCCAAGCUGACCCCUUGACCCAAGCCUAAUCCGUGUAAAACCCGGUCGGACCCCACAUCACCAAAACGACGUAGUUGCUCCCCAAAACUAGGUCGUUUCAUUUACCAUUCCCCAUUAAACGACCAAACACACCCCUGUCUUCAUUAAAUCAUUUAGCCCCAUCAAUUUUAGACCUAAUCCCUUCGUCUCUCUCAAAUCACCGCCCACUCCGCCGUAGCUCCGCCGCCCGGAAAUCGCCUCACGGCGGCGGAGCACCUCCAAACGCCUCCAAAUCUUAAUCCUACAUCCUUCGUCAUCUCCUCGUCCUUCUCCCGCAUUGAUUUCUCCAAAAGAUCACCCAAUCCUUCCGAAUUGUAGAUCCAAAAAUAAAAAUCCAAACUUUCCUCUUUUUUCCCAAACUUUUCGGAUUAAACCCUCAAUUCAUAGCAAAACCUGCACGAAUUCCUCAGUUUGUCAACAAAGGAGUUUCGUUUGAAUAUCAAGAAGCCCUAUCUCAUGGAUUUGGUCAGAUUUCGGAAAAUAGCUUUGUAGCCUCUGCCUCGCUUCUUUUUUGGCACACGUUGAGGAUUGCUGCAUGAAUCAUUAGCCAUGAACGAAAGUUCGGCUAAUAUUCGCGUUGCAAUUCUCACCGUUUGGUCAAGAUUUUUGUUCUCCGGAGUUCGAGUUUGAGUCAUCAUUGUUCUCGAAGAUUCUAAGGCUUAAUUGGAUUCAAUUGGAGUUGAAAUGUGUUUGCUACUGCUUACCUGGCUGUAGUUUGCAGAUCUGACCAUAAUUGGCCAUGUCUGUAAACAUGGAGGCCCAAAAAUAGUGUCCAGAAGCAUCCUUGGAGAUUCAAAAGUUAAAUGGCCUCAUAUAGGAUAUGUAUUCACUAGGCUCUAAUUAGGAAUCAUUUAUUUUACUUAAUAGUACAUUGUAAUGCUAUUAUAAUUAUUUUCUUUCACUUGAUGUACAGAUUAUGAGUCCUAUGUAGGACUACUGAUUUGUAUGAAGCAGGAUGUCAUUAUUUACAAUGUGAAUCUCAAUGGGCCAAAUUAAAUUUUAUGUAUCACGUUUGUUUCACAUU
Molecule: long non-coding RNA, 1117 nt
Organism: Nicotiana attenuata
Lineage: Eukaryota; Viridiplantae; Streptophyta; Magnoliopsida; Solanales; Solanaceae
Exons: 2
Source: RefSeq, a predicted model, not a curated record